Molecule: long non-coding RNA, 5671 nt
Filed under: Theobroma cacao (cacao)
Lineage: Eukaryota; Viridiplantae; Streptophyta; Magnoliopsida; Malvales; Malvaceae
Description: long non-coding RNA (TCAC_LNC000040)
Source: RNAcentral
UGGAUAGUAAGGCAGGAAUAAGGGACUGCUACCUGGACCUAGGUUCGUUCCCUGAAGAUCACUGGAUUCCUGCUACUGCCCUCAUUGAUAUGUGGGUUGAGCAGUACAAACUUGAUGAAGAUGAUGAUGCCAUUUUCAACCUCCAUGAACUCUCUACCAGGAAUCUAGUUAAUCUUGUAGUCGUGAGGUAUGCUAGUCAGUUCUUACUUUCUAUCUACUGUAACUUUAGCAUCCAUGUCCUGCCAUUCUCAUUUUAUUCUCUUCAAUCUAUCCAUAUUAUAGGGUUUCUCCCGUUGUACCCUAUAAUUCCAUUAAUCUGAAUGUAAAUCAAGCAGGACAGAUCUUCAACCUUGCUUCCCUUAUCAGAUAGGCACUAAGUUAUUGUUUAUGGUACAUGUUUGAAUCUCUACCCAACAGAUUUCUUUUUGCUUAUUCACCAGGAAAGAUGCACGUGAAGCUGAUGGCUACUACAAAGAGCACUUUGUCACGCAACAUGAUCUUCUCAGAGAGCUGGCUAUCUAUCAGAGCAGCUUGGACCCCGUGGAAAAAAGAAAGAGGUUAAUUGUAGAGCUAAGCCGCAACAAUUUUCCCAAUUGGUGGUUGGAAGAAAAGCAGCAAACUCUUGGUGCCCGCCUUUUGUCUAUCUCCACAGGUUGUUAUCUCUACCUUCAGACACAUGCACACACAAUAAGAAAUUUAGUCCUUCUACCCUAAGUUCUCGUGCCAUUUUUUACCUCAUCACAGAUGAAACAUUCACAUUCAGCUGGGGCAACAUCCAAGCACCAGAAGUUGAGGUUGUAGUUCUCAAUUUUCGGACGAAGAACUACACCUUGCCUGUCUUCAUGGAGAAAAUGGAUAAAUUGAAGGUUUUGAUAGUCACGAAUAGCAGUUUCUACCCAGCUGAAUUAAGUAACUUUCUGCUUCUGUGUUCUUUAUCGAAUCUAAGGAGAAUUAGGUUAGAGAAGGUGUCAGUUCCUUCCCUCAGCAUGAGCUCUUUACACCUAAAGAAUUUGGAAAAAAUAUCCUUAUAUAUGUGUAAUAUCGGUCAGGCUUUUGGGAAUGGCACUAAGAAGAUGUCAGAUAUUUUUCCGAAUCUUUUGGAAAUUGACAUUGACUAUUGUGAUGAUCUGGUGGAACUGACUGAUGGGUUGUGUGAUCUUGUUCAUCUGAUGAAGCUCAGUAUCACUAACUGCCACAAGCUUUGUGCACUGCCUGAAGGCAUUGGAAAGCUGGUAAACUUAGAAGUGCUAAGGCUAGCAUCCUGUACCGAUCUCGUGAGGUUGCCCGAGACCAUUGGGAGCUUAUCCCAGCUUAAUAUUUUUGACAUUUCCGACUGCCUGAGCAUCAUCAACAUGCCGGUCCAGAUUGGGGAACUGCACAAUCUAAGGAAGCUCUAUAUGAGAGGGUGCUCUAGUUGUAACCUACCUCCAACAAUCACAAAGCUUCAACGUUUGAAGGAUGUCAUAUGCGAUGAGGAGACUGCCUAUCAAUGGGAUUGUUUCAAAUCCUAUCUCAGCAAUCUAAGGGUAACAGUUCAUGAAGAAGACAUCAACUUGAACUGGCUCCGGACUUGUUUUUAAGAUUCCUCUCUUCUCAUGUGGUGCUGGAGCCUCCUUUCUUUUCAUAUACGUUAGUCUCCUUUACGUAUUUAUCACCACUCAUUGAAAUUUAGUGGUUAGGUUGGAAGACACUCCAACCAAACAAAUUUAUUUUUAUUAUUAAAAAAAAAUUGAUUGUAGAACAUAAUUAAAAAGAAAACCCCUUUCGACAACUUAGCCAGAAAAUGAACAAUAAUUUGGAAUACUAAAUGAGUUUCAAUAUGGACAAUUAAUUUUUUUUCUUACUCUAAACCUGUGGUAGUUACAUAAUACUACCAAGAAACCAACUCUACAUAAAAACUUGAAAGGUACGUGUUACACAAAGUAAAACACUCCAUAGCAGCAGAAGCAGCUAUCGCGCUAGACACAGUAAAUUUAUUCAACUUAGAAACCAUGCUCAUUUCCUUCAUUCUGUACAGCUCCAAAGCUUCUUUAGGCCUAUCGAAACGAACAUAACCCGAAAUCAUCGCGGUCCACGAGAAAUUAUCUCUUUCAGGCAUUUCAUCAAACAACUUAUUUGCUUCUUUAAGCAUUCCCAUUUUAGCAUACCCAGACAUCAAAGUGUUCCAAGAACACAAAUCCCUGUCACUCAUUUCAUCGAAAACAUUCUGGGCAUCUGCCAAACUCCCGCACUCGGCGUACAUAUAAAAGGCGGUUAUAAAUAACUACGCCGGCUGAAAACCCAGAAAUUUUUUUAUGUUGGUGAACUGAUUUGCCCUCGUUAAGAGCUCUGUUUUGGCAGCAAAGCUGGAUAAGAGCGGAGUAGAGAGAAGCUGGGGGUUUCUCGAUUUGAUUGAGGAUUUGAAUAGCUUCUUUUAAGAGUUUCUGGUUCCAUAAAUUAUGUAAUUGGUUUAUUAGAUUGUCUUUGGUGUUUGGUUUGAAAAAUGUUUUCUGAGGGAAAUGUUUAUGAAUUUAGGUUUGGGAAGAAAACCAAGAAGAGAAUAUUGCUCUGUUUUUGUGAAACAAAGAUAAAGAAUUGGAAAUUCUGGAAUUUAUUGAUUUCAUUGUUUUAAGAAAUUUUCGUGUAAAAUGUGGUUUCCGCUAUGGUGAUGAUUUUCUACUUUUAGUGUGAAAUUUGAAAUCAAGACUUUUAUAGAGAGAUGGAAGCCUGAUUCAAGGUGAAUUUGGGCCAAAACACGAGCAACAAGCUCAAUGUUAAAACCCAAUCCAAAAGAUUGUUUACAUUAAUAUUAAUUAUAAAUACAUUUUAAUUUACAUUUAGUUAAAAUUUAUUUAUUAUUAUUUUUUUGGGUGCUGUUCUUUUCGUCCAUCACAUGUUGGGAGUUGGGACAUGGGAGUGGGAAAAGUAGUUUCAGUGUUUCACAGUAAAUCUUAAGACGCACGCCUAGGCUUUGUCCUUUUUCUGACUGUGACCAAGGCGUCGGAGACCUUAGCUAAACAACCAUUUUAAGAGCUCGUAAGAAGGGAGGCCAGCAUUAAUAGACUUUCGUCAACAUUAACUCGACUAUUUUCCACUCUUUAGGUCCCAUUAUAAUUAAAGUAAAGAUUCCCGUACCCGAAGGAAAUUUCCAGGGGGCAGGAGCUUCUUCAUUAAGGAAUAUGGGGAAUAUAUAUAUAUAUAUAAAAAAAAGCGGAUUCCUUUAUUUGGGGAAUUCUUGCCAAGUUCAGAUGAAAACAUUAAUAUUUCUUGAAUUUUGGUUCUUGGGGUUUCCACAAAGAUUUUUAUGGCAGCAGCUUUGGUCGGAGGAGCGGCCUUAGGGGCAGUUUUUGGAGAGCUGCUUAGAGCCGUUGUAGAAGCGAGGAAAACACUUGCCCAGUUCCGUGAUGCCUUGGCGGAACUGGAAUCCACGCUAUCAUCCAUACAGCCAACAAUCAAAGCCAUAGAAUCACUCAACAAACUUCAUGACAGGGAGCACGAAAUGAAACCGUUCAUGGAAAUCAUUUGUACAGGAGAGAAACUUGUCAGGCAGUGCUUCAAAGUCCAUAGGUGGAACUUCCCCAAGAAGACUUGUUAUACAUACAAACUUCGUGGAUUGAAGAAAAAGCUCGACAGCUUCUGUCUGAUUAAUAUGCAAAUACAGCUAUUAAGAGACAACAAAGAAACGUCUUAUAAAAUGGAACAACUUGCUGGGGAAGUGAGAAGAUUGAGUUCCAAAGGGGCGUCCGGUAGCGACAAUGGGACGUUUAGUGAGGUUGCAGUUGUGGGUUCAUGCGAACCUCCUAAGCCUCAAGGGGAAGUUGUUGGAUUCGAUGCGCCCUUGACCGAGCUAAAGAUGAAGCUUUUUAAAGAUGGGGUGUCGGUCAUUGUUGUGUCUGCUCAGGGUGGAUCCGGGAAGACAACCUUGGUUCAAGAGCUAUGUCGGGAUGAAGGAGUCAAAGGUAUCAUUUCCUGUGCUUAGCUUUGUUUAUGCUUGAUUUUUAGUUUCUGGUUCUUGACUGGUUUGAUUAUUAGAUGCACAUCUGUUGAUUUGGUUAUGUCACAAGUGGAAACCAGAGUGGAAUGGCUAGCUUAACUUGAAUAAAUUUUGGAAGUAGGAGAAAAUGUUUCUUCUGAAAAUUCAUUUGGAAUAGUUGUGAAUCCUUUGGAAGACGUUAUUUGUCAAAUCCAAUUGAAUUAAACACUUUGCCAUGUAAGACUUCGAGUGUAGAAUAACUAGAUAACUGUUCAAGCAUUUGGUAAAGAUAUUUUAUGAGUAAUUUUGAUUGUAGUUGGAAUGAUUUCCUUUGUGCGGUCCUUCAACUGGAAUUCUACUGAGGCAAGCGAUUGAGAAAUUUUGGAUUCUAUUUUACCAAAUUUUCAUGCAUUAAAAUCGGGGAAUAUGUUUGUCACUUGCAAAAUGCUAUAAAUUAUCUUUGAAACUUUGCCAGAUUUCUAAUGCGAUGUUUGAACAGGAAAAUUUAAAGAAAACAUCUUCUAUGUGACUGUUUCAAAGGCACCCAACCUGGAGGUCAUUUUGCAGAAAUUACUCCGGCUUAAGGAUUCUAGAAUGCCUGAAUUUCAGAAUGAGGAGGAUGCCCUGAACCACUUGGAACAAAACUUCAGGAAAAUGGCAACCAAUCCCAUAUUACUCAUCCUGGACGAUGUUUGGUCUGGAUCUGAAUCCCUUGUUGAGAAGUUAAAGUUUACAUUGCCAGAUUACAAGAUCUUGGUAACAUCAAGAUUUGCCUUUCCAAGAUUUGAUUUUACAUAUCGUCUGAAACCAUUAAAUGAUGAUGAUGCUAUGACUCUGUUUCGUCACUUUGCAUUCUCGAAAGAUGUGGAUCCUGACAUUUCAGAUGAUCUCGUGAAUAAGGUAUUUUUAUCAAUCUGAAGACUCGUUCUAACUUUCACCCCUUGUAUGAAACUUUGAACACUUUCAUACUUCACUGUUGAUUUGCCACUGUAAUUUAGAUUAAAGAUCGAAAGGUUCAAAUCUUUAUAUUUGUAUACCAAGGUCGGUUUAAUUAAAGUGUUUUCCUGAACCUCCAAAAAAUGACUUUGAUGUUGUGUAACGAAUUUUAGGUAAUGAAAAGCUGUAAGGGACUCCCACUGGCCCUUGACGUGGUUGGUAGAUCACUUCGUGGGCAACCUGUUACAAUCUGGCGACGUAGAGCAAAGCAGCGGUCUAAAGGAGAAUCCAUCUUUAAUUCUAGCAAUGAGCUGCUUACUUGUCUUCAAAGCAGUUUAGAUGCGUUGGAUAGUAAGGCAGGAAUAAGGGACUGCUACCUGGACCUAGGUUCGUUCCCUGAAGAUCACUGGAUUCCUGCUACUGCCCUCAUUGAUAUGUGGGUUGAGCAGUACAAACUUGAUGAAGAUGAUGAUGCCAUUUUCAACCUCCAUGAACUCUCUACCAGGAAUCUAGUUAAUCUUGUAGUCGUGAGGUAUGCUAGUCAGUUCUUACUUUCUAUCUACUGUAACUUUAGCAUCCAUGUCCUGCCAUUCUCAUUUUAUUCUCUUCAAUCUAUCCAUAUUAUAGGGUUUCUCCUGUUGUACCCUAUAAUUCCAUUAAUCUGAAUGUAAAUCAAGCAGGACAGAUCUUCAACCUUGCUUCCCUUAUCAGAUAGGCACUAAGUUAUUGUUUGUGGUACAUGUUUGAAUCUCUACCCAACAGAUUUCUUUUUGCUUAUUCACC